CCAAUAGCGUAUAUUAAAGUUGUUGCAGUUAAAAAGCUCGUAGUUGAAUUUCGGGAUCAGAUUGUCGGUCGUGCCUCGGUACGCACUGGCAUUAUUGGUUCCUACCUUCUGAAGAACCGCGAUGUCAUUAAUUUGGUGUCGUGGGGAAUCAGGACUGUUACUUUGAAAAAAUUAGAGUGUUUAAAGCAGGCGCACGCUUGAAUACAUUAGCAUGGAAUAAUGAAAUAGGACGUUUGAUUCUAUUUUGUUGGUUUCUAGGAUCGACGUAAUGAUUAAUAGGGAUAGUUGGGGGCAUUAGUAUUCAAUUGUCAGAGGUGAAAUUCUUGGAUUUAUUGAAGACUAACUACUGCGAAAGCAUUUGCCAAGGAUGUUUUCAUUAAUCAAGAACGAAAGUUAGGGGAUCGAAGACGAUCAGAUACCGUCGUAGUCUUAACCAUAAACUAUGCCGACUAGGGAUCGGAUGAUGUUAAUUUUUUAAUGACUCAUUCGGCGCCUUGCG
Molecule: ribosomal RNA, 499 nt
Filed under: uncultured Glomeromycotina
Lineage: Eukaryota; Fungi; Glomeromycota
Description: partial small subunit ribosomal RNA
Rfam family: Eukaryotic small subunit ribosomal RNA
Source: RNAcentral